This is a non-coding RNA of Paramuricea clavata, 340 nucleotides long. The record is from the annotation of a GenBank genome assembly. Lineage: Eukaryota; Metazoa; Cnidaria; Anthozoa; Malacalcyonacea; Plexauridae.
UCACCGGUAAAUUAAAAAGAUACGGGCCGUUAUAGUUUACUACAGUCAUUGAAGCGCUUGUCCCAUAUUAGGCCGCACUUGGAAAGAUAAAGAACGAUAACAGUACUCUGUGUUAUUUCCAGGUGCGGCCUAAAACAAGAAACACAACUUCGAUUACUGCAGUAAACUUUGACGCUUUAUAUCUUUUUUAUUUAUCGGUGAAAUAGCACGAUUUUUGGCACAUGCCUUUACAGUGAAACAGGCCACAACUCUUAUAAAUGACGUUAAUCUGAAAAUGUUUAAACAGCCACGUUUCCUAUUUUUAAUUGAAGUGUCCAGUCCGGGCAUACAGAGGUCCUUG